GGGGGCAACUGUUGGGGUAAGUCAGUCGAUCUCCGACUCCAACUCUACAUCGGUCACACAAGCAUGCUACGUCGACUCAUAGUCAGUCAACCGACUGACAGUCGACUAUUAUUGACCAACAACACACGACUUGAUCAACCUCUAAUCAAAGAGCAUCGGCAUAUUAGAGUUACCAACCGAUGGUCAUUCGGAUCUUCUACCAACUUACUGCUACCGACCGACAUAC
RNAcentral lists this long non-coding RNA (226 nucleotides) under Elaeis guineensis (African oil palm). RNAcentral's name for it is "long non-coding RNA (EGUI_LNC078688)". The record is from RNAcentral. Lineage: Eukaryota; Viridiplantae; Streptophyta; Magnoliopsida; Arecales; Arecaceae.